GGAGAGAUGGCUCAGUGGUUAAGAGCACUGACUGCUCUUCCAGAGGUCCUGAGUUCAAAUCCCAGUAAUCCCA
Molecule: transfer RNA, 73 nt
Filed under: Rattus norvegicus (Norway rat)
Lineage: Eukaryota; Metazoa; Chordata; Mammalia; Rodentia; Muridae
Rfam family: tRNA
About the family: Transfer RNA (tRNA) molecules are approximately 80 nucleotides in length. Their secondary structure includes four short double-helical elements and three loops (D, anti-codon, and T loops). Further hydrogen bonds mediate the characteristic L-shaped molecular structure. tRNAs have two regions of fundamental functional importance: the anti-codon, which is responsible for specific mRNA codon recognition, and the 3' end, to which the tRNAs corresponding amino acid is attached (by aminoacyl-tRNA synthetases). tRNAs cope with the degeneracy of the genetic code in two manners: having more than one tRNA (with a specific anti-codon) for a particular amino acid; and 'wobble' base-pairing, i.e. permitting non-standard base-pairing at the 3rd anti-codon position.
Source: Rfam by way of RNAcentral